AAGAAAAAAAAGAUGUAUCUCGUUGAUAUGAGUAUCACCUAUCAAAUUAUUUAAGUUUUCCUUGAAUAUGCAGUCUCAUACCUGCAUAUUCUUGGAAUCCCUCUCUUUUAGGCGUAUUUCGGUUCGUUCAUGUACCCCUCCGCUUCAAAGCACCUAUAUAAGCUCUCUUUGUCUGUGCCUUGUACACCGGCAAUCGCUCCUUAUUUUUGCCCCGAGUGUCACAACAACAUUAAUUUUAAAGUGAAAUUUGUACAUAAAUAAUGUACAAAAACCAAAAGAAAUCUACAAAAUCAAUUUAUUUUUCGAAUUAAAAAAAACCCAGUCAUUUUCAGUGUUUUGAUUUUUACAAUUUUACUUAGGGCUGAUAAUUCGGUUCCGGUUAUCCGGUUAAAAUUGUAACUGAAUCGGUUAACCGAUAACCGGUUUUUCCGGUUUCGGAUCGAUUAUCGGUUAGUUUUAUUGGGGUUAACCGGUUAAUCGGUUUAACCGGUCGGUUAACCGGUUUAAUUUAUAGAUUAAUUAAUACAUUUAAUUUUGUAUUUACAUUUACUAAAAAUUGUAAAAAACUAGGGCUGGCUGGAUCUCAAUUCUCAAACAACUUUCAACUUUCACGCCUCCUUCUCCAGGCCUUCCACGCCCUUCGGCUACUUCCCGUCUGCCUCUGCACCCUCCGACGACCGGAGCCUCAUCCCACCGCGCCCAUCUCCCUUUGCACCCUCCAGCGCCGCCGCGCCUUCCUCUGCCUUGGGCCCCUUCGGCCCUUCCCGUCUGCCUUCUGCACCGUCCAGCGUCGCCGCACCCUCCAUUGCCUUCGGCCCCUUGGCCCUUACCUUCUGCCUCUGCACCCUCCGGCGACCGAAGCAUCGUCCAACCGCACCCAUCUCCCUCUACACCCACCAGCGCCACUGGGCCCUCCCUCUCCGACCUGUAUUUCCCUUCAGCGCCGCCCCCAACUCCCUCUGUAGUCUGCACAGCAGCACAGUCGCCAUCCUCGUGGGCCCCUUCCCGCCCUCCUACUCCGACCUCCCUUUUCUCAGGUUCGUAAAAAGUUUCCAUCUUUGGUUAGAUGUCGUAAAGAUGGUUUCUUUGCUCUGCAAAUAGCUCAGAUGUCGUAAAGAUUCGAUCUUUUUUAUUGUUCAUUGGAUUCAGUUUGUGUUGGUAUGGAUUUGUGUUGUGAAUUUGUGAUGAAUUCAGUUUGUGACUUUGUGUUGUGAUGAAUUCAGUUUUUUUGUUGUUAUUCUUGCACUGUAGUCUGAAACCAAACUUUUCAAUUCAGUUUUUGUUGUUCUUAUAAUUUGUGAUGAAUUUGUACACUGUUGGUAUGUACUUUGUCGGGUUCUUCGAAAAUGUGGCAGUUGAGUUUAUGGAUACAAUGUGUAGUACUAAAUUCCAGCUCCAUUUGCAAUUUGUUUACUAAUAACUAAUAAGUAAUAUGUUGACGAACUUCUUGAUUAGAUGGAGAGAAUUGAAGAUGGAUCACAAUCUAUCACACAACAAGCUAGCAACAGGCUUGGAAUUGAAGACGAUGAUAUGUUUGAAGAGGUUGAAAUACAUGAACUAGAGGGUGAUGAUGAAGAACCAAAGGCAAAAAAUACUAGGAAAUCUUCUGGGACAAGGUCCAAUGUUUGGGCUGAUUAUAUUCAGGUUAUGGACGGAGCAGGGGAUGAAAAGAUUAAGAAAGGGCAAUGCAAGCGUUGUGGCAGACUAAUAAGGGCUGAUCCGAAUAGAAACAACACCAGUGCUUUGAAAAAUCAUACUACUUCGUACUUGAAGAAGCAUCAAGCAACAGCUAGUCAAUCGGUUCUCAACUUACAACCCACUACUGCUGGAACAGGAUCGUUGACAAGCUGGAAAUUAGAUCAAAAUGUCGUUAGAAAGGCAUUGUGUCAGAUGAUCAUCAUGGAUGAACUUCCAUUUAGAUUUGUCGAGCGUGAGGGGUUCAAGAUGUUUAUAGACACCGGUGUAAAUGAGCCGAGUCGAGUCGAGUAUCGCUAUGCUCAAAGUCGAACUCGCCUAUUUUCAUGAAGCUCGAGCUCGAGCUCGACUCGGCCGAGCUUGAUUUUUUUGAGCUCGAGCUCGACUCGUUGCCAUAUUUGUAAGCUCGAGCUCGACUCGGUUAAGCUCGAUUGUUGAUUGUUGCUCGAGUUUGAGCUCGAGCUCGAGCUCGUUUAAGUUUGUUAGGCUCGAACUCGUUUAAACUCGGUGAGCUCGAGCUCGUUUAAGCUCGUCUCAUACAUGCUUUAACAAAUUGCAAAACAUUACAAAUCAUUCCAUUACGGAGAUUUCGGGAGGAGAGGAUGCCAUUAUCAACUGAAGAGAAAAAAAAAGAACAUUCUGACAAUAAAUAAAGAGAACAUUCUGAUUUAGACAAUUUGUUUAAACUGACCAUCAAUAAUUCGACAAAAUUCUGAUCAUUCUCACAAACGAAUUUAACUUUCUUCACCUCCAAUUCUUCAUUUUCCCCAUUCCCAUUGAUCCUCUUUAUUCCAACAAUCUCACAAUCAAAGAUCACAGCUUAAAC
This 2521-nucleotide long non-coding RNA is filed under the name Salvia miltiorrhiza (redroot sage). RNAcentral describes it as "long non-coding RNA (SMIL_LNC005404)". The record is from RNAcentral. Lineage: Eukaryota; Viridiplantae; Streptophyta; Magnoliopsida; Lamiales; Lamiaceae.